This 490-nucleotide ribosomal RNA is filed under the name uncultured bacterium. RNAcentral describes it as "bacterial SSU rRNA". It matches the Rfam family "Bacterial small subunit ribosomal RNA", at positions 28 to 511 of the family's 1533-position model. The record is from RNAcentral.
GAUGAACGCUAGCGGCAGGCCUAAUACAUGCAAGACGAACGGUAAGUUGAGUAGCAAUACUUAGCCAAGAGUGUCGUACGGGUGCGUAACACGUAUGCAACCUACCCUAUACAGGAGGAUAGCCUAGGGAAACCUGGAUUAACCCUUCAUAGUAUUAUUGGAUGGCAUCAUUUGAUAAUUAAAACUGAGGUGGUAUAGGAUGGGCAUGCGUCUGAUUAGUUAGUUGGCGGGGUAAUGGCCCACCAAGACGAUGAUCAGUAGGGGUUCUGAGAGGAAGAUCCCCCACACUGGCACUGAGAUACGGGCCAGACUCCUACGGGAGGCAGCAGUAGGGAAUAUUGGUCAAUGGAUGCAAGUCUGAACCAGCCAUGCCGCGUGCAGGAAGAAGGCCUUCUGGGGUUGUAAAACUGCUUUUUGAUUGGGAACAGAUGACUCUUGCGAGAGUAGCUGAGUGUACCAAUAGAAUAAGCCACGGCUAACUACGUGCCAG